This 681-nucleotide unclassified non-coding RNA is filed under the name Hevea brasiliensis (rubber tree). The record is from RNAcentral. Lineage: Eukaryota; Viridiplantae; Streptophyta; Magnoliopsida; Malpighiales; Euphorbiaceae.
AAAAAAUAAAAAAUAAAUAAAAAUUAAAUUUUAAAAUGCCAUAAAGUUUUAAUUAUUCUUCACAAAAUAUAAAAUUAUUUGAAUAUAAAAUAGAUAAUUGCUUAAAUAUAAAAUUUAGAUACAUGCAUCAUUUUGUUAAUAAAACAAAGUUUCAAAGACUAAUUAAUUUGUUAAUGGAACUUUAAUUUGAGGACCAUAUCAUUACUAAAAAAAAAAAAAAAUCAGGGAUUAAACUGUGGUUUUUGAUAUAUCAAGGACUUAUUUAUAAAUUACCCAUAAAAUUAAUAAAAUAAUAUUUUAAAAUAUUUAAUUAUUUAAAAUAUAUAUAAUAAAAUUUAAAAAUAUAAAAUCUAAAACACACCCUAAAAUAAAAAUCGAAGACAUAAGAUCAUUUUCUCUUCAAAAUCUUUACUUUUAUUCAUGCUCUUAAUCAGUGUUGUAAUUGCUGGACCGGAAAAAAGAGAAGGAUGUUUUUCUUUUAAUAAUAUUCUCCCAACAACUUAGAUGAGAGAGAUUUCCAUCGAUGUUCAUAUAUAAGAAAAGUCUUAUUGUGUUAUUACAUUGUUGGAAAUAUGGAUUAGGUCGCCAAUGUGGGUCAACCCGGAUCUACUAGAUUUAAAAUUCAAAACUUAUGUAGAUUGAUUAAAAUAUAUAACUACAUGAAGAGAUGCAACUCUUCUU